UAGGAAGGGGGAAGCCCACUGUCGUGCUGU
Molecule: non-coding RNA, 30 nt
Filed under: Mus musculus (house mouse)
Lineage: Eukaryota; Metazoa; Chordata; Mammalia; Rodentia; Muridae
Source: RNAcentral